CAAUAGCGUAUAUUAAAGUUGUUGCGGUUAAAAAGCUCGUAGUUGGAUUUCUGCUGAGGACGACCGGUCCGCCCUCUGGGUGAGUAUCUGGCUCGGCCUUGGCAUCUUCUUGGAGAACGUUACUGCACUUGACUGUGUGGUGCGGUAUCCAGGACUUUUACUUUGAGGAAAUUAGAGUGUUUCAAGCAGGCAUACGCCUUGAAUACAUUAGCAUGGAAUAAUAAGAUAGGACCUUGGUUCUAUUUUGUUGGUUUCUAGAGCUGAGGUAAUGAUUAAUAGGGAUAGUUGGGGGCAUUCGUAUUUAACUGUCAGAGGUGGAAUUCUUGGAUUUGUUAAAGACGGACUACUGCGAAAGCAUUUGCCAAGGAUGUUUUCAUUGA
This 380-nucleotide ribosomal RNA is filed under the name uncultured eukaryote. RNAcentral's name for it is "partial 18S ribosomal RNA". It matches the Rfam family "Eukaryotic small subunit ribosomal RNA", at positions 592 to 976 of the family's 1831-position model. The record is from RNAcentral.